RNAcentral lists this ribosomal RNA (455 nucleotides) under uncultured bacterium. RNAcentral's name for it is "bacterial SSU rRNA". It matches the Rfam family "Bacterial small subunit ribosomal RNA", at positions 340 to 786 of the family's 1533-position model. The record is from RNAcentral.
UACGGGAGCAGCAGUGGGGAAUAUUGCACAAUGGGCGCAAGCCUGAUGCAGCCAUGCCGCGUGUAUGAAGAAGGCCUUCGGGUUGUAAAGUACUUUCAGUCGUGAGGAAGGUGUUAAGGUUAAUAACCUUAGCAAUUGACGUUAGCGACAGAAGAAGCACCGGCUAACUCCGUGCCAGCAGCCGCGGUAAUACGGAGGGUGCGAGCGUUAAUCGGAAUUACUGGGCGUAAAGGGCACGCAGGCGGUUAAUUAAGUUGGAUGUGAAAUCCCCGGGCUUAACCUGGGAAUGGCAUUCAAGACUGGUUAGCUAGAGUCUUGUAGAGGGGGUAGAAUUCCAUGUGUAGCGGUGAAAUGCGUAGAGAUGUGGAGGAAUACCGGGUGGCGAAGGCGGCCCCUGGGACAAAGACUGACGCUCAUGUGCGAAAGCGUGGGGAGCGAAACAGGGAUUAGAUACC